RNAcentral lists this long non-coding RNA (786 nucleotides) under Daucus carota (carrot). RNAcentral describes it as "long non-coding RNA (DCAR_LNC007475)". Lineage: Eukaryota; Viridiplantae; Streptophyta; Magnoliopsida; Apiales; Apiaceae. The record is from RNAcentral.
CGUUUUGACUAUUCAUAAGCCUCCAUCGGAUUCCAAUAACACCUCCAAAUCCUCGUUUGAUUACGAAGAACACGAAGAACACACUUCGGUUUCUCUCGGUAUUCGUGCAGAGAAACUGGUGAAAAUGAUUUACGGUUGAAAAUAAGGUGUAGAAAGGGCUAUUUAUAUUUACAAAUAAUUGGUACCCCUUUGGAUCGUUUAUGACAUGAAAAUACGAUAUUUACUAGCUUUAUAUAAUAAAGCGGGGUCCAAUCGGUACUGGUUUUCAAGAUAAUCAUCAAAACGGGGCUUUUUAAUCAGUCAUUAGUAUGCGGGUCCCAUUGCAAUUAUUACAAGAUAAGGAUGAAUAUAAUAAUCAAAAUAUCUAGCUUUCACGUAUAUCGAGGCAAACUGGAUAAUUAUCAACAAUUAAAAUACCCGAAAAACUCCGCCGGACCGACUCCGGGGAAAACCGUACUCCGGAUCGAAAAAGUCAAAACACGAAAAAUGUCCGGAAUAUUGAAAUUAGGCUAAAGGUGAGUUUUGUUGAAACUUCCGGGAAGAAAAUUUGCUACCCCGUUACGAGUGGACGGAUUUACGGAAGUCAAAUAAUCAAUAAUUAAAUAUAAAUAUACGCAAUUAAAUCCGUAAAUCAAUUAUAAAAUCAUCUAAAAUUCCAUAAGUCGAUAUGAAAAUAUCCAAAUAAACUAUAUUUUCUCCUGAGCAUAUAGAAAUUGAAAUCUCUCAAAUACUAACACAUAUGAGCAUUCAGCUCAAUAAACUAGAUAAUACAAAGUUCACAAAAUU